RNAcentral lists this ribosomal RNA (439 nucleotides) under uncultured bacterium. Its description in RNAcentral is "partial 16S ribosomal RNA". It matches the Rfam family "Bacterial small subunit ribosomal RNA", at positions 339 to 795 of the family's 1533-position model. The record is from RNAcentral.
CUACGGGACGCAGCAGUGAGGAAUAUUGCACAAUGGGGGGAACCCUGAUGCAGCAACGCCGCGUGGAGGAUGACGCAUUUCGGUGUGUAAACUCCUUUUAUAUGUCAAGAAAAUGACGGUAGCAUAUGAAUAAGCACCGGCUAACUCCGUGCCAGCAGCCGCGGUAAUACGGAGGGUGCAAGCGUUACUCGGAAUCACUGGGCGUAAAGGACGCGUAGGCGGGUUGGAAAGUCAGGUGUGAAAUCCUACAGCUUAACUGUAGAACUGCACUUGAAACUUCUAUUCUAGAGGAUGGGAGGGGGAGAUGGAAUUAGUGGUGUAGGGGUAAAAUCCGUAGAUAUCACUAGGAAUACCUAAAGCGAAGGCGAUCUCCUGGAACAUUACUGACGCUAAGGCGUGAAAGCGUGGGGAGCAAACAGGAUUAGGUACCCCCGUAGUC